This 253-nucleotide ribosomal RNA is filed under the name uncultured bacterium. RNAcentral describes it as "partial 16S ribosomal RNA". It matches the Rfam family "Bacterial small subunit ribosomal RNA", at positions 524 to 776 of the family's 1533-position model. The record is from RNAcentral.
UACGUAGGGGGCAAGCGUUGUCCGGAUUUACUGGGCGUAAAGAGCGUGUAGGCGGCCAAGCAGGUCCGUUGUGAAAACUGGAGGCUUAACCUCCAGACGUCGACGGAAACCGCGUGGCUAGAGUCCGGAAGAGGAGAGUGGAAUUCCUGGUGUAGCGGUGAAAUGCGCAGAUAUCAGGAAGAACACCAAUAGCGAAGGCAGCUCUCUGGGACGGUACUGACGCUGAGACGCGAAGGCGUGGGGAGCGAACAGG